ACCGGCAGCUCAAGUGGUGGCCAUUAUUAUUGGGCCUAAAGCGUUCGUAGCCGGUUUGAUAAGUCUCUGGUGAAAUCCCGCAGCUUAACUGUGGGACUUGCUGGAGAUACUAUCAGACUUGAGGUCGGGAGAGGUUAGGGGUACUCCCAGGGUAGGGGUGAAAUCCAAUAAUCCUGGGAGGACUACCUGUGGCGAAGAGGGCUAACUGGAACGAACCUGCCGGUGAGUAACGAAAGCCAGGGGCGCGAACCG
RNAcentral lists this ribosomal RNA (252 nucleotides) under uncultured prokaryote. Its description in RNAcentral is "partial 16S rRNA". It matches the Rfam family "Archaeal small subunit ribosomal RNA", at positions 475 to 726 of the family's 1478-position model. The record is from RNAcentral.